Molecule: ribosomal RNA, 253 nt
Filed under: uncultured bacterium
Lineage: Bacteria
Description: partial 16S ribosomal RNA
Rfam family: Bacterial small subunit ribosomal RNA
Source: RNAcentral
UACGGGGGGGGCAAGCGUUGUUCGGAAUUACUGGGCGUAAAGGGCUCGUAGGCGGCCAACUAAGUCAGACGUGAAAUCCCUCGGCUUAACCGGGGAACUGCGUCUGAUACUGGAUGGCUAGAGUUUGGGAGAGGGAUGCGGAAUUCCAGGUGUAGCGGUGAAAUGCGCAGAUAUCAGGAAGAACACCUAUGGCGAAGGCAGCACUCUGGGACGGUACUGACGCUGAGACGCGAAAGCGUGGGGAGCGAACAGG